RNAcentral lists this ribosomal RNA (2052 nucleotides) under Triticum aestivum (bread wheat). RNAcentral describes it as "partial small subunit ribosomal RNA". Lineage: Eukaryota; Viridiplantae; Streptophyta; Magnoliopsida; Poales; Poaceae. The record is from RNAcentral.
AUGGCUGCAGGGCCGCUGGUGCUAUGGAACCACCGGUCGAUGCAGAUCCUGGUCCUCCUCAGCCUCGGGCUCCAGCUCGUCCUCUUCGUCUUCGCCGGGAUCCGCCGGCGUCAGACGCUCCCCGUGCGGAGGUUCCUUCUGUGGCUAGCGUACCUCAUGGCUGACUCCACCGCCGUGUACGCCGUCGGCCACCUGUCGUUCGGCAGCGCCGUGCGUGAGAACCAGCUCGUCGCGUUCUGGGCGCCGUUCCUGCUGCUCCACCUCGGCGGCCCGGACAACAUCACCGCCUACGCGCUGCAGGACAACCAGCUCUGGCUCCGCCACCUCACCGUCCUCGUCGUGCAGGUCCUCGGAGCGGGCUACGUCCUCUACAAGCACAUCGCCGUGGCCGGCGGCCAGGACAGGAAGCUGCUCCUGAUCGCCUCCAUUUUGAUGUUCGUCGUCGGCUUCGUCAAGUACGGGGAGAGGACGUGGGCGCUCAAGUGCAGCACCCUGGAGAGCAUAGGCGCCUCCCUCAGGACGCAGCCGCCCGCCAUCCACAACCAUGUCCACCCUCAGGACGAAGCUCCGGGGGAUGAGUUCCACCUGCGACGAGCCCACUCGCUGUUCCACAUCUGCAAGCGCGCCAUGGUCGAUUCCUCAGUGGUCGAGGAAGACUACAUGGACAUGGACGGCCUAGAAGAGUACACCAGCAAGCUGAUACAACGUGUCGAGCUGUGGACGCUGAUGGAGAUAGAGCUCUCCCUCAUGUACGACAUCCUGUACACCAAGGCGGCCGUGGUGCACACCUUCCGGGGCUACCUAAUCCGCUUCAUCUCGCCGCUCGCCGUCGCCACCUCGCUGCUGCUGUUCCGGUUCACCCCCAAGGAUGGCUACCUCAGAGCCGACGUGGCCAUCACCUACGUCCUGCUGGGUGGCGCCGUGUUCAUGGAGACGACGUCGCUCCUGAACGCACUGGCAUCGUCGUGGACGUUCGCGUUCCUGAGCACCACGCGGUGGAAUUGGCUUCGGUACGCAGCCCUGUGCAACAAGAGAUGGGACAAGCUCCGGCGCGCCGUCGUGUGGCUUCAUGAUCUUGUCAAGGGAGGAGUUGCCGGUAACAGUAGGUACACGUCCAGAAGGUGGUCAUACACCAUCGGGCAGUACAACUUGCUGCACUUGUGCACGCGCCCCGCCGACACGCCGCUCACCAGCCCUCUGCUUGGGAGGCUGGCCAGGGCACUGGCACCCGAUGAGUGGUGGAACAGGAAGCACUACUCGGCGACCGUCGAGAUGACCGAUCCGAUCAGGCGUCGUAUCUCUGUGUACAUGAGCCGACUGUACAGCAAGGGCAGGUUCAACGCUGCCAUGCUGGGGAAGAAGUGGGGUGAGUACCCACUAGGCCGCCGCGGGCUUUACCGCGGCAUCCUCAAGGACUCCCUCGGCAUCGAGUUUCAGGAGGGCAUCAUCAUCUGGCACAUCGCCACCGAGGUCUUCCUCACCAAGAGCGAGAGAGCCAAAGCCAUGGACGCCGCGCCUGACGUGCACGCCAUCAGGGUGAUGUCCGAUUAUAUGAUGUUUCUCCUGGUGGAACGUCCCUACAUGCUGCCAGGCCAGCCCCAGAAAAGGUUGUACCAGCGGACCUGCGAGAGGCUGGUCACCAGGAGAUCGACUGAUCCUAGGUACCCUAGCCGUGCACGCGUCGUCAAGGAUCUGUUCCGUGUGUUUGAUGCCCCACACUCGAGCAUUUCUAGGGUUGCCGAGAGAGAGGAGCUCGCCAACAAUCUGUACGAUGAAUACGAGGACCAGGAGUUCAGCCACCUUGCUCCUCGUCUCACUCACAUGGCUCAACUCGCCAAGGAGCUGCUGGAGAAGGAGAAGGAUGGCACGAUAGACUCCUUGGAGCUUGUCCUUGACGUGUGGAUGGACAUUCUCGUCUACGCGAGCAACAAGUGCAGCAGGGAGUCCCAUGCCCAGAAGCUCAACAGUGGUGGCGAGUUGACGACCAUCUUGUGGCUUAUGGCAGAAUACAUCUACCAAGCGUCGGUUGCCCAAAGAGAUGAUGUAGUAUAA